GCCUGGCUGGCUCAGUCAGCAGAGCACAAGACUCUUGAUCUCAGGGUUGUGAGUUCAAGCCCCAUGUUGGGUG
RNAcentral lists this transfer RNA (73 nucleotides) under Ailuropoda melanoleuca (giant panda). It matches the Rfam family "tRNA". From Rfam's summary of the family: Transfer RNA (tRNA) molecules are approximately 80 nucleotides in length. Their secondary structure includes four short double-helical elements and three loops (D, anti-codon, and T loops). Further hydrogen bonds mediate the characteristic L-shaped molecular structure. tRNAs have two regions of fundamental functional importance: the anti-codon, which is responsible for specific mRNA codon recognition, and the 3' end, to which the tRNAs corresponding amino acid is attached (by aminoacyl-tRNA synthetases). tRNAs cope with the degeneracy of the genetic code in two manners: having more than one tRNA (with a specific anti-codon) for a particular amino acid; and 'wobble' base-pairing, i.e. permitting non-standard base-pairing at the 3rd anti-codon position. The record is from Rfam by way of RNAcentral. Lineage: Eukaryota; Metazoa; Chordata; Mammalia; Carnivora; Ursidae.